GACGAACGCUGGCGGCGUGCUUAACACAUGCCAGUCGAACGGAAAGGCCCCUUUGGGGGUACUCGAGUGGCGAACGGGUGAGUAACACGUGAGUAACCUGCCCUUGACUUCGGGAUAACUUCAGGAAACUGGGGCUAAUACCGGAUAGGAAUCCUUGCUGCAUGGUGGGGGUUGGAAAGCUUCGGCGGUUUUGGAUGGACUCGCGGCUUAUCAGCUUGUUGGUGGGGUAGUGGCUUACCAAGGCUUUGACGGGUAGCCGGCCUGAGAGGGCGACCGGCCACAUUGGGACUGAGAUACGGCCCAGACUCCUACGGGAGGCAGCAGUGGGGAAUAUUGCACAAUGGGCGGAAGCCUGAUGCAGCAACGCCGCGUGCGGGAUGACGGCCUUCGGGUUGUAAACCGCUUUCAGCAGGGGCGAAGCUUGUGGUGACGGUACCUGCAGAAGAAGCACCGGCUAACUACGUG
RNAcentral lists this ribosomal RNA (465 nucleotides) under uncultured bacterium. RNAcentral describes it as "partial 16S ribosomal RNA". It matches the Rfam family "Bacterial small subunit ribosomal RNA", at positions 28 to 507 of the family's 1533-position model. The record is from RNAcentral.